RNAcentral lists this small nucleolar RNA (210 nucleotides) under Plasmodium blacklocki (nom. inval.). Its description in RNAcentral is "Plasmodium sp. gorilla clade G3 small nucleolar RNA snoR11". It matches the Rfam family "small nucleolar RNA snoR11". The record is from RNAcentral. Lineage: Eukaryota; Apicomplexa; Aconoidasida; Haemosporida; Plasmodiidae.
AAGAGCAAUUUUAUUAUAUGCAGAUUAUAUGUUGUACAUUUCCAGUACAUAUAUAUACAUAUAUAUAUCUACAUAUAUAAAAAUAUAUAAAAGAAAAAAUAAUAAAUAAUAAAAUUGCUUAAAACAAAAACUUGAUGCUAGCACGAUUAUCAGGGCAUAAGAUGUUAUAAAUUGUGAGCAUCCUAUGCAGUACAAGUUUGUGCACAAUUA